This 25-nucleotide non-coding RNA is filed under the name Rattus norvegicus (Norway rat). Lineage: Eukaryota; Metazoa; Chordata; Mammalia; Rodentia; Muridae. The record is from RNAcentral.
UCUUUCUACUGUGGCCACUGUUACC